RNAcentral lists this ribosomal RNA (468 nucleotides) under uncultured bacterium. RNAcentral's name for it is "partial 16S ribosomal RNA". It matches the Rfam family "Bacterial small subunit ribosomal RNA", at positions 28 to 507 of the family's 1533-position model. The record is from RNAcentral.
GACGAACGCUGGCGGCGUGCUUAACACAUGCAAGUCGAACGGAAAGGCCCUGCUUUUGUGGGGUGCUCGAGUGGCGAACGGGUGAGUAACACGUGAGUAACCUGCCCUUGACUUUGGGAUAACUUCAGGAAACUGGGGCUAAUACCGGAUAGGAGCUCCUGCUGCAUGGUGGGGGUUGGAAAGUUUCGGCGGUUGGGGAUGUACUCGCGGCUUAUCAGCUUGUUGGUGGGGUAGUGGCUUACCAAGGCUUUGACGGGUAGCCGGCCUGAGAGGGUGACCGGCCACAUUGGGACUGAGAUACGGCCCAGACGCCUACGGGAGGCAGCCGUGGGGAAUAUUGCACAAUGGGCUGAAGCCUGAUGCAGCAACGCCGCGUGCGGGAUGACGGCCUUCGGGUUGUAAACCGCUUUCGCCUGUGACGAAGCGUGAGUGACGGUAAUGGGUAAAGAGGCACCGGCUAACUACGUG